This 685-nucleotide long non-coding RNA is filed under the name Brassica rapa (field mustard). RNAcentral describes it as "long non-coding RNA (BRAP_LNC003980)". Lineage: Eukaryota; Viridiplantae; Streptophyta; Magnoliopsida; Brassicales; Brassicaceae. The record is from RNAcentral.
AAGAAGAAAAAUAUGUUUAUAACUGGUUUAUUUUGAAAAGUGUUAUUUGGUAUACAUUUUCACAUAUAAAAGGAGACGCAUAAGUUAGGAUUUGAAAUAAUAAAUAUCUAAUUUCAUUUAAUCAGAUAUGUUUUUAUUAAUUUUGAAUCACUGAAAAAAAAUCGUAGCGAAAACCAGUUUUGUAUUCGCCCUUUUGCAAAAUAUCACAACAUUCAGAAAAAGUUAAGAAGAAAUCACAGAAACUUAACUUGAAAUUUAAAGAAGACUUCCUACAACUGCAAACGUUAUUGACUUAUUCUGAGAAUCUUUAUAUGUACUCUUCUUGAAAUUGUGUUUCUAUUUUCAUAUUUGAAGUAUUUUGGAAAGAUAAUUAUUUCUAGAAAUUAAAAGAUAUGUUCUACAACUCAAUAAAAAAAAAUUCAGUAAAAAAAAAAUUCAAUAAAAAUCACGUUAUUCUAGUCAUGUUUUAAUGGUGAUAGGUACAAUAACCAAAGACAUGCAUCAUCAUCAUCGCUGCUAUGCUUUUCCUUACUUCAUGAAUUUAGCACAUCUUUGAGCACCAUCCAUGCUGCCCAACUGCGCUUGGUCAUAAAAGAAACACGAUUGCAUUUCCUGAUUUAUUUUCAACAUCUUAUUUGACAAAAAAAGGUUAAAUUAUUAUAACUCUUAAACCGUAAUGCCACCU